GACGAACGCUGGCGGCGCGCUUAACACAUGCAAGUCGAACGGAAAGGCCUGCUUUCCCUUGUGGAUUGCGGGUACUCGAGUGGCGAACGGGUGAGUAACACGUGAGUGAUCUGCCCCCAACUUGGGUAUAAGCCUGGGGAACUGGGUCUAAUUCCCGAUAGGACUGCAGGGUGGUGCCUGUGGUGGAAAACGAUUUUCUAGUGGUUGGGGAUGAGCUCGCGGCCUAUCAGCUUGUUGGUGGGGUAAUGGCCUACCAAGGCGGCGACGGGUAGCCGGCCUGAGAGGGUGGACGGCCACAUUGGGACUGAGACACGGCCCAGACUCCUACGGGAGGCAGCAGUGGGGAAUAUUGCACAAUGGGCGGAAGCCUGAUGCAGCGACGCCGCGUGGGGGAUGACGGCCUUCGGGUUGUAAACUCCUUUCGACCGCGAGGAAGCCACCUGGUUGGAAGGGUGGUGACGGUAGUGGUAGAAGAAGCACCGGCUAACUACGUG
This 494-nucleotide ribosomal RNA is filed under the name uncultured bacterium. Its description in RNAcentral is "partial 16S ribosomal RNA". It matches the Rfam family "Bacterial small subunit ribosomal RNA", at positions 28 to 507 of the family's 1533-position model. The record is from RNAcentral.